Molecule: ribosomal RNA, 2235 nt
Filed under: Salmonella enterica
Lineage: Bacteria; Pseudomonadati; Pseudomonadota; Gammaproteobacteria; Enterobacterales; Enterobacteriaceae
Description: bacterial LSU rRNA
Rfam family: Bacterial large subunit ribosomal RNA
Source: RNAcentral
UGACUGCGUACCUUUUGUAUAAUGGGUCAGCGACUUAUAUUCUGUAGCAAGGUUAACCGAAUAGGGGAGCCGGAGGGAAACCGAGUCUUAACCGGGCGUUAAGUUGCAGGGUAUAGACCCGAAACCCGGUGAUCUAGCCAUGGGCAGGUUGAAGGUUGGGUAACACUAACUGGAGGACCGAACCGACUAAUGUUGAAAAAUUAGCGGAUGACCUGUGGCUGGGGGUGAAAGGCCAAUCAAACCGGGAGAUAGCUGGUUCUCCCCGAAAGCUAUUUAGGUAGCGCCUCGUGAAUUCAUCUCCGGGGGUAGAGCACUGUUUCGGCUAGGGGGCCAUCCCGGCUUACCAACCCGAUGCAAACUGCGAAUACCGGAGAAUGUUAUCACGGGAGACACACGGCGGGUGCUAACGUCCGUCGUGAAGAGGGAAACAACCCAGACCGCCAGCUAAGGUCCCAAAGUCAUGGUUAAGUGGGAAACGAUGUGGGAAGGCCCAGACAGCCAGGAUGUUGGCUUAGAAGCAGCCAUCAUUUAAAGAAAGCGUAAUAGCUCACUGGUCGAGUCGGCCUGCGCGGAAGAUGUAACGGGGCUAAACCAUGCACCGAAGCUGCGGCAGCGACGCUUAUGCGUUGUUGGGUAGGGGAGCGUUCUGUAAGCCUGUGAAGGUGUGUCGUGAGGCAUGCUGGAGGUAUCAGAAGUGCGAAUGCUGACAUAAGUAACGAUAAAGCGGGUGAAAAGCCCGCUCGCCGGAAGACCAAGGGUUCCUGUCCAACGUUAAUCGGGGCAGGGUGAGUCGACCCCUAAGGCGAGGCCGAAAGGCGUAGUCGAUGGGAAACGGGUUAAUAUUCCCGUACUUGGUGUUACUGCGAAGGGGGGACGGAGAAGGCUAUGUUGGCCGGGCGACGGUUGUCCCGGUUUAAGCGUGUAGGUGUGUGUUCCAGGUAAAUCCGGUUCACUUUAACACUGAGGCGUGAUGACGAGGCACUACGGUGCUGAAGUAACAAAUGCCCUGCUUCCAGGAAAAGCCUCUAAGCAUCAGGUAACAUCAAAUCGUACCCCAAACCGACACAGGUGGUCAGGUAGAGAAUACCAAGGCGCUUGAGAGAACUCGGGUGAAGGAACUAGGCAAAAUGGUGCCGUAACUUCGGGAGAAGGCACGCUGACACGUAGGUGAAGUGAUUUACUCACGGAGCUGAAGUCAGUCGAAGAUACCAGCUGGCUGCAACUGUUUAUUAAAAACACAGCACUGUGCAAACACGAAAGUGGACGUAUACGGUGUGACGCCUGCCCGGUGCCGGAAGGUUAAUUGAUGGGGUCAGCGCAAGCGAAGCUCCUGAUCGAAGCCCCGGUAAACGGCGGCCGUAACUAUAACGGUCCUAAGGUAGCGAAAUUCCUUGUCGGGUAAGUUCCGACCUGCACGAAUGGCGUAAUGAUGGCCAGGCUGUCUCCACCCGAGACUCAGUGAAAUUGAACUCGCUGUGAAGAUGCAGUGUACCCGCGGCAAGACGGAAAGACCCCGUGAACCUUUACUAUAGCUUGACACUGAACAUUGAGCCUUGAUGUGUAGGAUAGGUGGGAGGCUUUGAAGUGUGGACGCCAGUCUGCAUGGAGCCGACCUUGAAAUACCACCCUUUAAUGUUUGAUGUUCUAACGUGGACCCGUUACCCGGGUUGCGGACAGUGUCUGGUGGGUAGUUUGACUGGGGCGGUCUCCUCCUAAAGAGUAACGGAGGAGCACGAAGGUUGGCUAAUCCUGGUCGGACAUCAGGAGGUUAGUGCAAUGGCAUAAGCCAGCUUGACUGCGAGCGUGACGGCGCGAGCAGGUGCGAAAGCAGGUCAUAGUGAUCCGGUGGUUCUGAAUGGAAGGGCCAUCGCUCAACGGAUAAAAGGUACUCCGGGGAUAACAGGCUGAUACCGCCCAAGAGUUCAUAUCGACGGCGGUGUUUGGCACCUCGAUGUCGGCUCAUCACAUCCUGGGGCUGAAGUAGGUCCCAAGGGUAUGGCUGUUCGCCAUUUAAAGUGGUACGCGAGCUGGGUUUAGAACGUCGUGAGACAGUUCGGUCCCUAUCUGCCGUGGGCGCUGGAGAACUGAGGGGGGCUGCUCCUAGUACGAGAGGACCGGAGUGGACGCAUCACUGGUGUUCGGGUUGUCAUGCCAAUGGCACUGCCCGGUAGCUAAAUGCGGAAGAGAUAAGUGCUGAAAGCAUCUAAGCACGAAACUUGCCCCGAGAUGAGUUCU